This 233-nucleotide long non-coding RNA is filed under the name Nicotiana benthamiana. Its description in RNAcentral is "long non-coding RNA (NBEN_LNC039919)". Lineage: Eukaryota; Viridiplantae; Streptophyta; Magnoliopsida; Solanales; Solanaceae. The record is from RNAcentral.
GUCACACAGGAUUCCUGAUGCAAGCCUCCACUUUGACCACCCCGCUCCUAUACGAUGAGUGACGUCCCCGUCAAUCUCUCCGUCCCCCUGAAUCACUGAUCCAAGAUAUCUGACACUGUUUCUUUUUGCGACGGCCUGAGAUCCAAUCAUCACGUCUCUGCCUACUUCGACCGGCUCGGCGCUAAACUUGCACUCCAGGUAUUCUGUCUUAGAUCUGCUUAUUUUGAAACCCU